Molecule: ribosomal RNA, 258 nt
Filed under: uncultured bacterium
Lineage: Bacteria
Description: partial 16S ribosomal RNA
Rfam family: Bacterial small subunit ribosomal RNA
Source: RNAcentral
CUUGCUUUCUUUGCUGGCGACCGGCGCACGGGUGAGUAACACGUAUCCAACCUGCCCUUUACUCGGGGAUGGCCUUUCGAAAGAAAGAUUAAUACCCGAUAGCAUAAUGAUUCCGCAUGGUUUCAUUAUUAAAGGAUUCCGGUAAAGGAUGGGGAUGCGUUCCAUUAGGUUGUUGGUGGGGUAACGGCCCACCAAGCCUUCGAUGGAUAGGGGUUCUGAGAGGAAGGUCCCCCACAUUGGAACUGAGACACGGUCCAA